Molecule: ribosomal RNA, 253 nt
Filed under: uncultured bacterium
Lineage: Bacteria
Description: partial 16S ribosomal RNA
Rfam family: Bacterial small subunit ribosomal RNA
Source: RNAcentral
UACGGAGGGUGCAAGCAUUGAUCGGAAUUACUGGGCGUAAAGGGCGCGUAGGCGGUCGAAAAAGUCGGAUGUGAAAUUCCGGGGCUCAACCCCGGAACUGCAUUUGAAACUUUUUGACUAGAGUACAGUUAGGGUAAACGGAAUUCCACGUGUAGCGGUGAAAUGCGUAGAUAUGUGGAAGAACACCGGUGGUGAAGACGGUUUACUGGGCUGUAACUGACGCUGAGGCGCGAAAGCUAGGGGAGCAAACAGG